GACGAACGCUGGCGGCGUGCUUAACACAUGCAAGUCGAACGAUGAAGCCGGAGCUUGCUCCGGUGGAUUAGUGGCGAACGGGUGAGUAACACGUGAGAAAUCUGCCCUUGACUCUGGGAUAACUGCGGGAAACUGUAGCUAAUACCGGAUACGACACCUUGGGGCAUCCCAGGGUGUGGAAAGAAUUUCGGUCAAGGAUGAGCUCGCGACCUAUCAGCUAGUUGGUGAGGUAAUGGCUCACCAAGGCGACGACGGGUAGCCGGCCUGAGAGGGUGACCGGCCACACUGGAACUGAGACACGGUCCAGACUCCUACGGGAGGCAGCAGUGGGGAAUAUUGCACAAUGGGCGAAAGCCUGAUGCAGCAACGCCGCGUGAGGGAUGAAGGCCUUCGGGUUGUAAAUCUCUUUUAGCAGGGAAGAAGCGAAAGUGACGGUACCUGCAGAAAAAGCACCGGCUAACUACGUGCCAGCAGCCGCCGUAA
This 483-nucleotide ribosomal RNA is filed under the name uncultured bacterium. RNAcentral describes it as "partial 16S ribosomal RNA". It matches the Rfam family "Bacterial small subunit ribosomal RNA", at positions 28 to 523 of the family's 1533-position model. The record is from RNAcentral.